UGACGGCCGAAAAUUGCUCCGGUAUAACGGCGGGUAACGGCGGUCGACUCCUCGGCGGCUGGGCUGUCUUCUCAGGCGAGGGGCUCUGGUGGCUAAGGUUAGAGUUUGGGUGUAUAUGAGGUUAUUUAUACCCAUCCGCUUUUAAUUUGAGCCAUCAAUCGCUUUUAAUCUGAACUGUCCGAUCGCGAUUAAAUAGGGAAUGAAUCUAGGCCGUUCAUCGCGAUUCAAUCUGGGCUGUCCGUGCGUGAUUCAUUCUGGACCGUCCGUGCGUGUUUUUGAUAUGGGUCAUCCCUGCGCGCGGGAACGGAUCUCAGCCAUUCGAUUUUGCGUACGCGGAUCGCCUACGUGGCUCCCUCCCGCGAGGCCUCUCGCGUCAACGUCUCUGCCACCUGGCGCGUCCUGGUUGGCCGGGGCUGCUGACCGGGUAGCUAGCGUGGCAUAACUUUUCUAAAUUACGUUUUGACCUCAAAUUUUUUAUUUUUCUUUCAAAAAUACCCCAGAACCUAAAUUUUCACCCAUUUUCUCCAAAAUUGUUUUAAAAAAAAUUCCUAAAUAAUUUUUACCCAUUUUUAUUAUUAUUAUUUUCAUUAAAAUAAAAUAAAUUAAAUUAGAUUCUAUUAACACUAAAUUAUAUUUAUAUAGAAUAAAUUAAAAUAAAAUAAAAUAAUAUAAUAUAAUAAUAAUAAAAAUGAAAAGACAUUUUUGGGUGUUACAACUCUCUCCCCCUUAAAAGAAAUUUAGUCCCUCAAAUUUGUCUCUUACUCUCGAUUGAACAACUGGGGUACUGGGCUUUAAAGUCUGAUUCUAGCUCCCGUGUAGCCUCCCUUGGUGUAUGGUUCUGCCAUACGACCUUUACAAAGGAUAUUUUUCGGUUGCGGAGUAAUCUACUUUUUCGAUCCGUAAUGCCGACUGGUACUUCCUCGUAGGAUAAGUCCUCCUGGAGUGGGAGUGGUUCGUGGGCCAAGACAUAUGAGGGGUCCAGGUUGUACUUGCGUAGCAUGGACACAUGAAACACAUUGUGGAUCUUGGAAAGCUCUGGAGGUAGUGCUAGUCUGUAGGCGGCAGUACCAAUCCUAUCUAAAACUUCAAAUGAUCCAAUAAAUCAGGGGUUCAGUUUUCCCCUCCUGCCGAACCUACUAAUUCCCUUGAAAUGAGUGACCUUAAAAAACACCCGGUCGCCUUUCUCAAACGCUAAAUCUCUCCUUCGGGUGUCCGCAUAACUCUUCUGCCUGUUCUGAGUCAUCUGAAUGUUCCUCUUGGAUGUAGUCUCCUCUACCAGUUCCGGUCUGAACAAUUUUCUAUCGCCCACUUCUUCCCAACAAAUCAGCGAUCUGCAUGGGCGCUCAUAUAACGCCUCAUACGGAGCUAUGCCAAU
This 1375-nucleotide long non-coding RNA is filed under the name Carica papaya (papaya). RNAcentral's name for it is "long non-coding RNA (CPAP_LNC013634)". Lineage: Eukaryota; Viridiplantae; Streptophyta; Magnoliopsida; Brassicales; Caricaceae. The record is from RNAcentral.